AAGACUAUAGACCUGCGGAGUACCUGCGGAAGGAUCAUUAUCGAAUACUACUUGAUGGGUUGUCGCUGGCCUCUAAGGGCAUGUGCACGCCUGUCUUAGUUCUAUUCAUCCACCUGUGCACUAUCUGUAGUCUUUGAGGGCUGAGAGUGGGCUUGCACUUUAUCAGUUGAAAAAACUGGAUGAGAGAAUUGCCUGUAUGGGCUUUCCUCAGCAAGAGUUCAUGACCUCCCUUGGAGUCUA
RNAcentral lists this unclassified non-coding RNA (240 nucleotides) under soil metagenome. RNAcentral describes it as "partial contains 5.8S ribosomal RNA, internal transcribed spacer 2, and large subunit ribosomal RNA". The record is from RNAcentral.